This 105-nucleotide ribosomal RNA is filed under the name uncultured bacterium. RNAcentral describes it as "partial 16S ribosomal RNA". It matches the Rfam family "Bacterial small subunit ribosomal RNA", at positions 1378 to 1482 of the family's 1533-position model. The record is from RNAcentral.
CCCUUGUACACACCGCCCGUCACACCGUGGGAGUUGGUUUUACCUUAAGACGGUGCGCUAACCGCAAGGAUGCAGCCGGCCACGGUAGGAUCAGCGACUGGGGUG